GCCAGUCUGCAUGGAGCCGGCCUUGAAAUACCACCCUUUAAUGUUUGAUGUUCUAACGUGGACCCGUGAUCCGGGUUGCGGACAGUGUCUGGUGGGUAGUUUGACUGGGGCGGUCUCCUCCUAAAGAGUAACGGAGGAGCACGAAGGUUGGCUAAUCCUGGUCGGACAUCAGGAGGUUAGUGCAAUGGCAUAAGCCAGCUUGACUGCGAGCGUGACGGCGCGAGCAGGUGCGAAAGCAGGUCAUAGUGAUCCGGUGGUUCUGAAUGGAAGGGCCAUCGCUCAACGGAUAAAAGGUACUCCGGGGAUAACAGGCUGAUACCGCCCAAGAGUUCAUAUCGACGGCGGUGUUUGGCACCUCGAUGUCGGCUCAUCACAUCCUGGGGCUGAAGUAGGUCCCAAGGGUAUGGCUGUUCGCCAUUUAAAGUGGUACGCGAGCUGGGUUUAGAACGUCGUGAGACAGUUCGGUCCCUAUCUGCCGUGGGCGCUGGAGAACUGAGGGGGGCUGCUCCUAGUACGAGAGGACCGGAGUGGACGCAUCACUGGUGUUCGGGUUGUCAUGCCAAUGGCACUGCCCGGUAGCUAAAUGCGGAAGAGAUAAGUGCUGAAAGCAUCUAAGCACGAAACUUGCCCCGAGAUGAGUUCUCCCUGACCCUUUAAGGGUCCUGAAGGAACGUUGAAGACGACGACGUUGAUAGGCCGGGUGUGUAAGCGCAGCGAUGCGUUGAGCUAACCGGUACUAAUGAACCGUGAGGCUUAACCUUACAACGCCGAAG
RNAcentral lists this ribosomal RNA (773 nucleotides) under Shigella sonnei. RNAcentral's name for it is "partial 23S ribosomal RNA". It matches the Rfam family "Bacterial large subunit ribosomal RNA", at positions 2170 to 2925 of the family's 2925-position model. The record is from RNAcentral. Lineage: Bacteria; Pseudomonadati; Pseudomonadota; Gammaproteobacteria; Enterobacterales; Enterobacteriaceae.